RNAcentral lists this ribosomal RNA (468 nucleotides) under uncultured bacterium. RNAcentral describes it as "partial 16S ribosomal RNA". It matches the Rfam family "Bacterial small subunit ribosomal RNA", at positions 28 to 507 of the family's 1533-position model. The record is from RNAcentral.
GAUGAACGCUGGCGGCGUGCCUAAUACAUGCAAGUCGAACGGAAAGGCCAUGAUCUUGUGGCGCGCUCGUUUGGCGCACGGGGGAGUAACACGUGUGUAAACUGUACCUGACUUUGGGAUAACAUCAGGAAACUGGGGCUCUUACCGGAUAGGAGCUACUGCUGCAUGUUGGGGGUUGGAAAGUUUCGGCGGUUGGGGAUGGACUCGCGGCUUAUCCGCUUGUUGGUGGGGUAGUGGAUUACCAAGGCUUUGACGGGUAGCCGGCCUGAGAGGGUGACCGGCCACAUUGGGACUGAGAGACGGCCCAGACGCCAACGGGAGGCAGCGGUGGGGAGUAUGACGGAAUGGGCGGAAGCCAGAUGCAGCAGCGCCGCGUGCGGGAUGACGGGCUUCGGGUGAUAAACCGCUUUCGCCUGAGACGAGGCGUGAGUGACGGUAAUGGGUAAAGAAGCACCGGCUAACUACGUG